GAAAGUUUGGGCUGGGGGCGGCACACCCUUCGAAAGAGCAGCGAAGGUGUCCUAAGUUGAGCUCAGUGAGGACAGAAAUCUCACGUUGAGGAUAAGGCCAAAAGCUCAAUUUACUGUGCCUUUUUGUACUAGGAUCAGUUACGAAAGUAAGGCCUAACGAUCCCUAAAUAGCCUCAGGUGCGUGAGGAUUGGGGUGACAGACAAGUUACCUCCGGGACAACUGGCUUGUGGCUGCUAAGAGAUCAAAUCAACGCAGCUUUUUGAUUCUUCGAUGUCGGCUCUUCCUAUCCUAGUGAUGUACAAGUUGCUAAGGGUCGGAUUGUUCACCCGUAUUAGGGAUCGUGAGCUGGGUUUAGACCGUCGUGAGCCAGGUUUGUUUUAUCCUACUGGAUAUAGCAUCAUGAUAGUAGAUUGAUUUAGUACGAGAGGAACUGUUGAUUAUGGCCUCUGGUUAGCGAUUAUCGGAAACGGUAUGUCGCGCAGCUACGCCGUCUGGGAUAAUGGCUGAAAGCCUCUUAAGCCAGAAGCCCAUCUAGAAAGUGAUGCACGUGAUGUUGGACCGAUACGAAUAAUCAUACUCAAAAGGUCCGCUUCAUAGGUAACCCAAUGUAGAAGACAUUGUGUGAACGAAGGUACUGUAAGCAGUGGAGUGGCAUUACGUCCACGACCUGUUGAGGUUCAGCUUCGCUUCUAGGUUUCC
Molecule: non-coding RNA, 700 nt
Filed under: Trichomonas vaginalis G3
Lineage: Eukaryota; Parabasalia; Trichomonadida; Trichomonadidae
Description: Eukaryotic large subunit ribosomal RNA
Rfam family: Eukaryotic large subunit ribosomal RNA
Source: Rfam by way of RNAcentral